Mustela erminea (ermine) is the source of this 1322-nucleotide long non-coding RNA. RefSeq lists it as uncharacterized. The transcript has 6 exons. Lineage: Eukaryota; Metazoa; Chordata; Mammalia; Carnivora; Mustelidae. The record is from RefSeq and is a predicted model, not a curated record.
UGAAGGUCCUCACCGCCCCCCAGGCUGCAGUGAACUUGGGCUUCACUCUGCCCAGGGCCUGCCCCAAAACCAGCGCAGGCAAGCCUCCUGGUGUCUGGGGCCACAGCCCACUCCUUCAGCCCCUGGGCAUCAGUGGCUUCUCCCUCUGGGACCACAGGGUGUCUUCUCCACUGCCUGGAUGAUGUUGUCUCUGGCCAGCUGUGGACAAUGCCCUCCCUUUGCUCCUGCCUGCUACAGAGUACCAGUGAGUUUAUGCAGUCUGUGCUGUGAGCCAAGGUGCCAGACAUAUGGGAACAGUAUGAGGUGGAUUCCGCUAUCCCCGUUUGGUAGUCAGCUGAGUCUUCAAUGGUUUAAAAGUCAUCUGCUGCAGGUCACCCAGUGAGGGGCAGAAGCAGGCUUGGAGCCUGAGCCUCUCCAACUGAAAAGCCCUGUUGUCACUACUCUGCUCUCUGCUCCCAUCGGGGCAGGGUGGGGGGCAAUGCAGAUCUCCUGGGACAUUUCAUGAAACUUGGGGGUCCUUAGUUGCCUCCCUAUGGGUCCACAGAACAUUGCUUGGUCUAUCUUUCUUUAGCUCCCCAGCCCUGAGGAUCCCACUCUAGAAAGAUUGUUCUCCACAUAGAAGCCACUCUCUGCCGGCCCCACACAUCUGUGAAUCCAUCAGGCAUCAUUCCCAAAGCUGCCAGUGUCCAACUGCCCCGUGAAUGGAGGGCAUGGUCUUGAAAGCCUCUGCAUCCUCCCCUCUAUGAACCUGUUGCUUCCUAUUUCAAAUCAGAACCAGUCCUCUUGUCAUAUUUGAAUUUCAAAUGUCCACCCACCUUUUCAGCUUGUCUGCCUCUGUUGUCUAAGAAUCCAGGUCAAUCAAUUGUGAGGAAAAUGUAGCUAGGACACAGCAGGACGAAAGUGAAACAGUCUUGUUACACCCCAAACUUCAUGAGCCAAGGCCUUGGCAAAGACUUUGUGAUAGCGUGCCAAGAACAGAACUGUGGCAAGGGAAUGGUUCCCGAAUCUGCCUCCAAACAUUCUUCACAGAGUAGCUGGCUUUCCAAUGUAGACCUGAUGAUAUUCAUCAUGCCGCAGCAUAGGAGAGCAGGCCAGGGUCCAAGCAGCUCCUAUCAGAGACUGCUCUGAACAAGGUUCCCAUGCACAUCGAGUCUAUGUGAUAAGUACCGUCAAACUGAAUUAAAGAGAACGUUUUCCAUCAGAACAGGAUGGAAGACAGGAAACACUUGUGGGGGAUGGGCACAAAAUGAAGGCUAAGUUAAAAAUGGCUAUUAAAAUGAGCAUUUCAGUCGGGUGUUUAAAGACAUAGUUGUUGUUUUUUA